Molecule: long non-coding RNA, 212 nt
Filed under: Nicotiana benthamiana
Lineage: Eukaryota; Viridiplantae; Streptophyta; Magnoliopsida; Solanales; Solanaceae
Description: long non-coding RNA (NBEN_LNC000390)
Source: RNAcentral
UUGUUAUAAUACCAAACUUAUCAUCUGUUGCAAUGUAUUAUUAAGACAAAUCCAACAAGAUAAAAGCUUACUAGACUAGUAGAUGAAAAGUUAUCACUAUGGACUGAGAAGAUAACUAGAAAUAUCCUUCGACAGAAUAUAAGAUAAACUCUGCACAGGAAGAGGGUAUCACACAGAUUUCAUUGUCUGCAGAGACAACUCAAAUUGGAGCU